Molecule: ribosomal RNA, 492 nt
Filed under: uncultured bacterium
Lineage: Bacteria
Description: partial 16S ribosomal RNA
Rfam family: Bacterial small subunit ribosomal RNA
Source: RNAcentral
AGUGAACGCUGGCGGUAGGCCUAACACAUGCAAGUCGAACGGCAGCACAGUAAGAGCUUGCUCUUACGGGUGGCGAGUGGCGGACGGGUGAGGAAUACAUCGGAAUCUACUUUUUCGUGGGGGAUAACGUAGGGAAACUUACGCUAAUACCGCAUACGACCUACGGGUGAAAUCAGGGGAUCUUCGCACCUUGCGCGAUUCAAUUAGCCGAUGUCGGAUUAGCUAGUUGGCGGGGUAAAGGCCCACCAAGGCGACGAUCCGUAGCUGGUCUGAGAGGAUGAUCAGCCACACUGGAACUGAGACACGGUCCAGACUCCUACGGGAGGCAGCAGUGGGGAAUAUUGGACAAUGGGCGCAAGCCUGAUCCAGCAAUACCGCGUGGGUGAAGAAGGCCUUCGGGUUGUAAAGCCCUUUUGUUGGGAAAGAAAAGCAGCAGGUUAAUACCCCGCUGUUCUGACGGUACCCAAAGAAUAAGCACCGGCUAACUUCGUG